GGCUGGUCCAAAGGUAACGCGUUAUCUCACUUGAUUGUUAACAGUCAGUUACAGAUUGAACUCCUUGUUCUACUAUUUUCCCCUCCUUCUCACUACUACACUUGAUUAGUCUUAA
This 115-nucleotide Y RNA is filed under the name Propithecus coquereli (Coquerel's sifaka). RNAcentral describes it as "Y RNA (ENSPCOG00000003458.1)". It matches the Rfam family "Y RNA". Rfam says of the family: Y RNAs are components of the Ro ribonucleoprotein particle (Ro RNP), in association with Ro60 and La proteins. The record is from Rfam by way of RNAcentral. Lineage: Eukaryota; Metazoa; Chordata; Mammalia; Primates; Indriidae.